GACGAACGCUGGCGGCGCACUUAACACAUGCAAGUCGAACGGAAAGGCCUGCUUUCCCUUGUGGAUUGCGGGUACUCGAGUGGCGAACGGGUGAGUAACACGUGAGUGAUCUGCCCCCAACUUGGGUAUAAGCCUGGGAAACUGGGUCUAAUUCCCGAUAGGACUGCAGGGUGGUGCCUGUGGUGGAAAACGAUUUUCUAGUGGUUGGGGAUGAGCUCGCGGCCUAUCAGCUUGUUGGUGGGGUAAUGGCCUACCAAGGCGGCGACGGGUAGCCGGCCUGAGAGGGUGGACGGCCACAUUGGGACUGAGAUACGGCCCAGACUCCUACGGGAGGCAGCAGUGGGGAAUAUUGCACAAUGGGCGGAAGCCUGAUGCAGCGACGCCGCGUGGGGGAUGACGGCCUUCGGGUUGUAAACUCCUUUCGACCGCGAGGAAGCCACCUGGUUGGAAGGGUGGUGACGGUAGUGGUAGAAGAAGCACCGGCUAACUACGUG
Molecule: ribosomal RNA, 494 nt
Filed under: uncultured bacterium
Lineage: Bacteria
Description: partial 16S ribosomal RNA
Rfam family: Bacterial small subunit ribosomal RNA
Source: RNAcentral